AAUAUUUGGCAAUAGAGAUUAGUGGAAGAAAAUACCUGGUAUGAUGAUGGAGGAGGAGAAAUGCGAAAGAAGUUUUGGUGUAGGAAAGUUUAUGAGAGCACGAGAGUUCUGGAGAGAAGAGUGAUUGCGUAACAAGUAAGUGAGGAAGAAAUGAGCUUUUAAUUGUUUGAAAGAAGGAGAUGAAGCGACAGAGCUUUCUGACCAUUGAUGUGC
RNAcentral lists this long non-coding RNA (213 nucleotides) under Phaseolus vulgaris (common bean). RNAcentral describes it as "long non-coding RNA (PVUL_LNC003908)". Lineage: Eukaryota; Viridiplantae; Streptophyta; Magnoliopsida; Fabales; Fabaceae. The record is from RNAcentral.